Molecule: non-coding RNA, 46 nt
Filed under: Schistosoma margrebowiei
Lineage: Eukaryota; Metazoa; Platyhelminthes; Trematoda; Strigeidida; Schistosomatidae
Source: RNAcentral
GCUCUUCUAAAGUGUCCCACAAUAGAACGAAACGGCCGUCCAGAGC